UACGGAGGGUGCAAGCGUUGCUCGGAAUUAUUGGGCGUAAAGGGUAGGUAGGUGGUCUCAUUUGUCUGGGGUGAAAUCCUUGAGCUUAACUCAAGAAGUGCCUCAGAAACGGUGAGACUAGAGUUCUGGAGAGGGUCGUGGAAUUCCCGGUGUAGCGGUGAAAUGCGUAGAGAUCGGGAGGAACACCAGAGGCGAAGGCGGCGACCUGGACAGAUACUGACACUCAACUACGAAAGCGUGGGGAGGAAACAGG
Molecule: ribosomal RNA, 253 nt
Filed under: uncultured bacterium
Lineage: Bacteria
Description: partial 16S ribosomal RNA
Rfam family: Bacterial small subunit ribosomal RNA
Source: RNAcentral